GAGGUUAUAGCUCAGUGUUAGAGCAGGUGCUUAGCAUGCACAAAGUCCUCGGUUCAAUCCCUAGUACCUCCA
RNAcentral lists this transfer RNA (72 nucleotides) under Camelus bactrianus (Bactrian camel). It matches the Rfam family "tRNA". Rfam says of the family: Transfer RNA (tRNA) molecules are approximately 80 nucleotides in length. Their secondary structure includes four short double-helical elements and three loops (D, anti-codon, and T loops). Further hydrogen bonds mediate the characteristic L-shaped molecular structure. tRNAs have two regions of fundamental functional importance: the anti-codon, which is responsible for specific mRNA codon recognition, and the 3' end, to which the tRNAs corresponding amino acid is attached (by aminoacyl-tRNA synthetases). tRNAs cope with the degeneracy of the genetic code in two manners: having more than one tRNA (with a specific anti-codon) for a particular amino acid; and 'wobble' base-pairing, i.e. permitting non-standard base-pairing at the 3rd anti-codon position. Lineage: Eukaryota; Metazoa; Chordata; Mammalia; Artiodactyla; Camelidae. The record is from Rfam by way of RNAcentral. RNAcentral also lists the same sequence under 2 other names.